GCGCUGCAUUAGCUAGUUGGUAAGGUAACGGCUUACCAAGGCAACGAUGCAUAGCCGACCUGAGAGGGUGAUCGGCCACACUGGAACUGAGACACGGUCCAGACUCCUACGGGAGGCAGCAGUAGGGAAUCUUCCGCAAUGGGCGAAAGCCUGACGGAGCAACGCCGCGUGAGUGAUGAAGGUCUUCGGAUCGUAAAACUCUGUUAUUAGGGAAGAACAUAUGUGUAAGUAACUGUGCACAUCUUGACGGUACCUAAUCAGAAAGCCACGGCUAACUACGUGCCAGCAGCCGCGGUAAUACGUAGGUGGCAAGCGUUAUCCGGAAUUAUUGGGCGUAAAGCGCGCGUAGGCGGUUUUUUAAGUCUGAUGUGAAAGCCCACGGCUCAACCGUGGAGGGUCAUUGGAAACUGGAAAACUUGAGUGCAGAAGAGGAAAGUGGAAUUCCAUGUGUAGCGGUGAAAUGCGCAGAGAUAUGGAGGAACACCAGUGGCGAAGGCGACUUUCUGGUCUGUAACUGACGCUGAUGUGCGAAAGCGUGGGGAUCAAACAGGAUUAGAUACCCUGGUAGUCCACGCCGUAAACGAUGAGUGCUAAGUGUUAGGGGGUUUCCGCCCCUUAGUGCUGCAGCUAACGCAUUAAGCACUCCGCCUGGGGAGUACGACCGCAAGGUUGAAACUCAAAGGAAUUGACGGGGACCCGCACAAGCGGUGGAGCAUGUGGUUUAAUUCGAAGCAACGCGAAGAACCUUACCAAAUCUUGACAUCCUUUGACAACUCUAGAGAUAGAGCUUUCCCCUUCGGGGGACAAAGUGACAGGUGGUGCAUGGUUGUCGUCAGCUCGUGUCGUGAGAUGUUGGGUUAAGUCCCGCAACGAGCGCAACCCUUAAGCUUAGUUGCCAUCAUUAAGUUGGGCACUCUAAGUUGACUGCCGGUGACAAACCGGAGGAAGGUGGGGAUGACGUCAAAUCAUCAUGCCCCUUAUGAUUUGGGCUACACACGUGCUACAAUGGACAAUACAAAGGGCAGCGAAACCGCGAGGUCAAGCAAAUCCCAUAAAGUUGUUCUCAGUUCGGAUUGUAGUCUGCAACUCGACUACAUGAAGCUGGAAUCGCUAGUAAUCGUAGAUCAGCAUGCUACGGUGAAUACGUUCCCGGGUCUUGUACACACCGCCCGUCACACCACGAGAGUUUGUAACACCCGAAGCCGGUGGAGUAACCUUUUAGGAGCUAGCCGUCGAAGGUGGGACAAAUGAUUGGGGUGAAGUCGUAACAAGGUAGCCGUAUCGGAAGGUGCGGCUGGAUCACCUCCUUUCUAAGGA
This 1317-nucleotide ribosomal RNA is filed under the name Staphylococcus aureus. RNAcentral's name for it is "bacterial SSU rRNA". It matches the Rfam family "Bacterial small subunit ribosomal RNA", at positions 233 to 1533 of the family's 1533-position model. The record is from RNAcentral. Lineage: Bacteria; Bacillati; Bacillota; Bacilli; Caryophanales; Staphylococcaceae.